GAUGAACGCUGGCGGCGUGCCUAAUACAUGCAAGUCGAGCGAACGGACGAGAAGCUUGCUUCUCUGAUGUUAGCGGCGGACGGGUGAGUAACACGUGGAUAACCUACCUAUAAGACUGGGAUAACUUCGGGAAACCGGAGCUAAUACCGGAUGAUAUUUUGAACCGCAUGGUUCAAAAGUGAAAGACGGUCUUGCUGUCACUUAUAGAUGGAUCCGCGCUGCAUUAGCUAGUUGGUAAGGUAACGGCUUACCAAGGCAACGAUGCAUAGCCGACCUGAGAGGGUGAUCGGCCACACUGGAACUGAGACACGGUCCAGACUCCUACGGGAGGCAGCAGUAGGGAAUCUUCCGCAAUGGGCGAAAGCCUGACGGAGCAACGCCGCGUGAGUGAUGAAGGUCUUCGGAUCGUANAACUCUGUUAUUAGGGAAGAACAUAUGUGUAAGUAACUGUGCACAUCUUGACGGUACCUAAUCAGAAAGCCACGGCUAACUACGUGCCAGCAGCCGCGGUAAUACGUAGGUGGGCAGCGUUAUCCGGAAUUAUGGGCGUAAAGCGCGCGUAGCGGUUUUUUAGUCUGAUGUGAAAGCCCACGGCUCAACCGUGGAGGGUCAUUGGAAACUGGAAAACUUGAGUGCAGAAGAGGAAAGUGGAAUUCCAUGUGUAGCGGUGAAAUGCGCAGAGAUAUGGAGGAACACCAGUGGCGAAGGCGACUUUCUGGUCUGUAACUGACGCUGAUGUGCGAAAGCGUGGGGAUCAAACAGGAUUAGAUACCCUGGUAGUCCACGCCGUAAACGAUGAGUGCUAAGUGUUAGGGGGUUUCCGCCCCUUAGUGCUGCAGCUAACGCAUUAAGCACUCCGCCUGGGGAGUACGACCGCAAGGUUGAAACUCAAAGGAAUUGACGGGGACCCGCACAAGCGGUGGAGCAUGUGGUUUAAUUCGAAGCAACGCGAAGAACCUUACCAAAUCUUGACAUCCUUUGACAACUCUAGAGAUAGAGCCUUCCCCUUCGGGGGACAAAGUGACAGGUGGUGCAUGGUUGUCGUCAGCUCGUGUCGUGAGAUGUUGGGUUAAGUCCCGCAACGAGCGCAACCCUUAAGCUUAGUUGCCAUCAUUAAGUUGGGCACUCUAAGUUGACUGCCGGUGACAAACCGGAGGAAGGUGGGGAUGACGUCAAAUCAUCAUGCCCCUUAUGAUUUGGGCUACACACGUGCUACAAUGGACAAUACAAAGGGCAGCGAAACCGCGAGGUCAAGCAAAUCCCAUAAAGUUGUUCUCAGUUCGGAUUGUAGUCUGCAACUCGACUACAUGAAGCUGGAAUCGCUAGUAAUCGUAGAUCAGCAUGCUACGGUGAAUACGUUCCCGGGUCU
This 1369-nucleotide ribosomal RNA is filed under the name uncultured bacterium. Its description in RNAcentral is "bacterial SSU rRNA". It matches the Rfam family "Bacterial small subunit ribosomal RNA", at positions 28 to 1381 of the family's 1533-position model. The record is from RNAcentral.